AGAGUUUGAUCCUGGCUCAGAUUGAACGCUGGCGGCAGGCUUAACACAUGCAAGUCGAGCGGGGGAGAUUGCUUCGGUGAUUGACCUAGCGGCGGACGGGUGAGUAAUACUUAGGAAUCUGCCUAUUAAUGGGGGACAACAUCUCGAAAGGGAUGCUAAUACCGCAUACGCCCUACGGGGGAAAGCAGGGGAUCACUUGUGACCUUGCGUUAAUAGAUGAGCCUAAGUCGGAUUAGCUAGUUGGUGGGGUAAAGGCCUACCAAGGCGACGAUCUGUAGCGGGUCUGAGAGGAUGAUCCGCCACACUGGGACUGAGACACGGCCCAGACUCCUACGGGAGGCAGCAGUGGGGAAUAUUGGACAAUGGGGGGAACCCUGAUCCAGCCAUGCCGCGUGUGUGAAGAAGGCCUUAUGGUUGUAAAGCACUUUAAGCGAGGAGGAGGCUCUCUUGGUUAAUACCCAAGAAGAGUGGACGUUACUCGCAGAAUAAGCACCGGCUAACUCUGUGCCAGCAGCCGCGGUAAUACAGAGGGUGCGAGCGUUAAUCGGAUUUACUGGGCGUAAAGCGUGCGUAGGCGGCUUUUUAAGUCGGAUGUGAAAUCCCCGAGCUUAACUUGGGAAUUGCAUUCGAUACUGGGAAGCUAGAGUAUGGGAGAGGAUGGUAGAAUUCCAGGUGUAGCGGUGAAAUGCGUAGAGAUCUGGAGGAAUACCGAUGGCGAAGGCAGCCAUCUGGCCUAAUACUGUCGCUGAGGUACGAAAGCAUGGGGAGCAAACAGGAUUAGAUACCCUGGUAGUCC
RNAcentral lists this ribosomal RNA (796 nucleotides) under uncultured bacterium. RNAcentral describes it as "bacterial SSU rRNA". It matches the Rfam family "Bacterial small subunit ribosomal RNA", at positions 8 to 796 of the family's 1533-position model. The record is from RNAcentral.